AGAUGAAAAGCACUUUUUUUUUUUUUUUUGAGAGAGAGAUAGGUAGUAUGCUAUCCGUUUCAUUUAUUUCAUUUAGAAAUAAAUUUAGCUGAAAAUGUGAAUCAACUGGGUUUCGAACUUAAAUCUCGGGUAUCAACCAUCAAGUCCUUUGCCACUUACUUUAGGGACGAUCGGUUUGAAAACAAACGAAGCAAGUAACAUAUAGUUUGAAGUGCACUUAUUAACAAACCAAAUGAACAAAAA
This 243-nucleotide long non-coding RNA is filed under the name Ananas comosus (pineapple). RNAcentral describes it as "long non-coding RNA (ACOM_LNC022733)". Lineage: Eukaryota; Viridiplantae; Streptophyta; Magnoliopsida; Poales; Bromeliaceae. The record is from RNAcentral.